CCAGAGCACCUCAAAGCUUCCUAAUCACACGCCACAGGAAAAGUCUGUGCUUUAGGUGUUUGUUAUCCUUCACCAAAACCAUCUAAACCCUUCUCUUAAGGAGAGUUUCUUUUCUGGUUUUAAGGGGGUGGGGAUCACAUAAUCAAAUAAAAUGGCCUGAAUUCCAGAGGCAGAAUCCCCCCAAAGCUAUAUUUCCACUAACUAGGAAACUUUGGAGUCACUGUAGGACCUACCCAAACAACCUGCCCACACAUAAACCCACACCAGGGUUAGCCCUGGGGAAAGGCUUAGGAAUGGCAAAGCAAUUAUGCAGUACGUUUAGAAGUAACCUUUUAUGACAUCUGCCCUUUAAGACUACUGUAAAAAGUAGACAUUUUCUAAAUUCUGGAUUCAUGAAAUUCAUAAAGCAAAGAAAAGGAAACUUGCUUAGAAAAUUGAGAAUGCCCUUUUAUGCUGUUUCUUCUGAUCACUAUAACAUUUAAUAAAUAACCCUUUAGCUGC
This 501-nucleotide long non-coding RNA is filed under the name Bos taurus (domestic cattle). Its description in RNAcentral is "long non-coding RNA NONBTAT014203". The record is from RNAcentral. Lineage: Eukaryota; Metazoa; Chordata; Mammalia; Artiodactyla; Bovidae.